AACGAACGCUGGCGGCAUGCCUACACAUGCAAGUCGAACGAGAUCUUCGGGUCUAGUGGCGCAUGGGUGCGUAACGCGUGGGAAUCUGCCCUUUGGUUCGGAAUAACAGUUGGAAACGACUGCUAAUACCGGAUGAUGACGAAAGUCCAAAGAUUUAUCGCCAGAGGAUGAGCCCGCGUAGGAUUAGCUAGUUGGUGUGGGAAAGGCGCACCAAGGCGACGAUCCUUAGCUGGUAUGAGAGGAUGAUCAGCCACACUGGGACUGAGACACGGCCCAGACUCCUACGGGAGGCAGCAGUGGGGAAUAUUGGACAAUGGGCGAAAGCCUGAUCCAGCAAUGCCGCGUGAGUGAUGAAGGCCUUAGGGUUGUAAAGCUCUUUUACCCGGGAUGAUAAUGACAGUACCGGGAGAAUAAGCUCCGGCUAACUCCGUGCCAGCCGCCGCAGUAA
RNAcentral lists this ribosomal RNA (448 nucleotides) under uncultured bacterium. Its description in RNAcentral is "partial 16S ribosomal RNA". It matches the Rfam family "Bacterial small subunit ribosomal RNA", at positions 29 to 523 of the family's 1533-position model. The record is from RNAcentral.